Non-coding RNA from Tinamus guttatus (white-throated tinamou), 274 nucleotides. Lineage: Eukaryota; Metazoa; Chordata; Aves; Tinamiformes; Tinamidae. The record is from RefSeq and is a predicted model, not a curated record.
CACAGAUCCUUAUGCACAUCUUCUGCACCUACCUUGACUCCAGACUGCCACCUAGCCCCAAGUAUCCCAAUGGCAAAACCUUCACUUCCCAGUACUUCAUCCGGACAACAGAUAAACCAGACAUGACAAAUGAAAACCUGUUUUGCAUCUACCAGAGCAACAUCAACCCACCCCACUAUGAGCUGAUCUAUCACGGCCACGUCUACAACCUGCCCCAGGUAGGAGCAUGUUGGAAUGGUUCUGCUGUCAGGAAAUCUUCAGCAGACCUGAUUUG